CGGGGUGCAGCAGGCGCGAAACCUCUGCAAUAGGCGAAAGCCUGACAGGGUUACUCUGAGUGAUGCCCGCUAAGGGUAUCUUUUGGCACCUCUAAAAAUGGUGCAGAAUAAGGGGUGGGCAAGUCUGGUGUCAGCCGCCGCGGUAAUACCAGCACCCCGAGUUGUCGGGACGAUUAUUGGGCCUAAAGCAUCCGUAGCCUGUUCUACAAGUCCUCCGUUAAAUCCACCUGCUCAACAGAUGGGCUGCGGGGGAUACUAUAGGGCUAGGAGGCGGGAGAGGCAAACGGUACUCAGUGGGUAGGGGUAAAAUCCAUUGAUCUACUGAAGACCACCAGUGGCGAAGGCGGUUUGCCAGAACGCGCUCGACGGUGAGGGAUGAAAGCUGGGGGAGCAAACCGGAUUAGAUACCCGGGUAGUCCCAGCUGUAAACGAUGCAGACUCGGUGAUGGGUUGGCUUCGCGCCAACCCAGUGCCGCAGGGAAGCCGUUAAGUCUGCCGCCUGGGGAGUACGGUCGCAAGACUGAAACUUAAAGGAAUUGGCGGGGGAGCAC
Molecule: ribosomal RNA, 551 nt
Filed under: uncultured archaeon
Lineage: Archaea
Description: bacterial SSU rRNA
Rfam family: Archaeal small subunit ribosomal RNA
Source: RNAcentral